UGGGGAAUAUUGGACAAUGGGCGCAAGCCUGAUCCAGCAAUGCCGCGUGAGUGAUGAAGGCCUCCGGGUUGUAAACUCCUUUCGACCGAGAUGAAUACCUGCUGACCUAAUACGUCAGCAGGCUGACAGUAUCGAGGGAAGCAGCCCCGGCUAACUAC
This 158-nucleotide ribosomal RNA is filed under the name uncultured bacterium. RNAcentral describes it as "partial 16S ribosomal RNA". It matches the Rfam family "Bacterial small subunit ribosomal RNA", at positions 355 to 504 of the family's 1533-position model. The record is from RNAcentral.